Molecule: transfer RNA, 65 nt
Filed under: Dipodomys ordii (Ord's kangaroo rat)
Lineage: Eukaryota; Metazoa; Chordata; Mammalia; Rodentia; Heteromyidae
Rfam family: tRNA
About the family: Transfer RNA (tRNA) molecules are approximately 80 nucleotides in length. Their secondary structure includes four short double-helical elements and three loops (D, anti-codon, and T loops).
Source: Rfam by way of RNAcentral
AGUUGGCUCAGUGGUAGAGUGCUUGCCUUGCAUGCAUGAGGCAAGGGUUCGAUUCCUCAGCACUA